Molecule: long non-coding RNA, 797 nt
Organism: Aethalodelphis obliquidens (Pacific white-sided dolphin)
Lineage: Eukaryota; Metazoa; Chordata; Mammalia; Artiodactyla; Delphinidae
Exons: 3
Source: RefSeq, a predicted model, not a curated record
CACCAGAUGAGGACAGAGAAAGAAGUGCCAGCUAUGGACUAGGAAAUGAGCCUUCACCAGAGGUAACCAUGCUGGCACAUUGAUCUUGGACUUCCCAGCCUCCAGAACUGUCACCUGCCCAAAUGCAACCUUGAACCAAACCAGAUGUCAGAGGGAAGAGAGUGUCUGUUGACAUUGUCCAGGCUGCAGAUGUCUCCAGGAAAAAUUGGAAAACAUGAACAUACAGGAUCUUAGUUCCGCCACACCCGCUCCCUCUGCAUUGGAAACACGGAGUCUUAACCACUGGACUGCCAGGGAAUUCCCUGAAGAUAUUUACUUCUUAUGGAUACUGUGAAGGUUAUAUGAAAUAACAUGUAGAUCUGGUGGCAUAACACCUAGCACAUAGUAAGUGAUUAAGGAAUAUUAGUUAUUCUUUAUUGCAUAAUAGAUAAUCAUAACGAAAAUGAAUGACAUGCUAAAUCAAGUAUGUGUUCUAUGUUUGAUAAGCUUUCAUAUGGAGUAUUUCAUUGUACUCAAAGUUUGAUAAUAGGCUAUCUGAACAUGGUAUAUAUUUAAUUAUUCAAAAUAAUGAAUCAGACUAGUUUAUUCCAAAAAUUUUGGAUGAAUAAAAGUUGGUUUAAAUAGUGAAUAUAAACUAUAAGAGAAAUCUUAAGAAAAGACACUUUCAAUCCAAUCAUUUUAAAAUAUAAUAGGAAAUUUCAACAGCUUAAUUAUGCUUAUUAUUACAUGUUUAUCUGCUCAUUAAAUCAAAUCCUGAAGUACAUUUAUUUGGCAAAUGAGUAUUGCGAGUUAUAAAA